Molecule: transfer RNA, 71 nt
Filed under: Loxodonta africana (African savanna elephant)
Lineage: Eukaryota; Metazoa; Chordata; Mammalia; Proboscidea; Elephantidae
Rfam family: tRNA
About the family: Transfer RNA (tRNA) molecules are approximately 80 nucleotides in length. Their secondary structure includes four short double-helical elements and three loops (D, anti-codon, and T loops).
Source: Rfam by way of RNAcentral
GCACUGGUGGUUCAGUGGCAGAAUCCUCGCCUUUCAUGUGGGGUACCCAGGUUCAAUUCCUGGCUGGUGCA